GCCGGGGUGGCGGAAUCAUAGGCAGACGCACCUCGUUCAGACCGAGACGCCCGCAAGGGCAUGGGAGUUCGAAUCUCCCCUCCGGCACCA
This 90-nucleotide transfer RNA is filed under the name Nevskiaceae bacterium. RNAcentral describes it as "tRNA-Leu". It matches the Rfam family "tRNA". Rfam says of the family: Transfer RNA (tRNA) molecules are approximately 80 nucleotides in length. Their secondary structure includes four short double-helical elements and three loops (D, anti-codon, and T loops). Lineage: Bacteria; Pseudomonadati; Pseudomonadota; Gammaproteobacteria; Nevskiales; Nevskiaceae. The record is from RNAcentral.